This 111-nucleotide non-coding RNA is filed under the name uncultured Dysosmobacter sp. RNAcentral describes it as "THF riboswitch". It matches the Rfam family "THF (Tetrahydrofolate) riboswitch aptamer". From Rfam's summary of the family: THF riboswitch presents a pseudoknot that joins P1-P2 and the loop of P3 and two THF binding. The record is from RNAcentral. Lineage: Bacteria; Bacillati; Bacillota; Clostridia; Eubacteriales; Oscillospiraceae.
GCAGAGUAGGAACACACGUGACCAGUGCCGGAAAAACGGGGAGUUGUUUUCCGGACGAAAAGGAGAGAAGGAUAGCCUUCCUCCUGCAGUGUGUGUUCCGCAUCCCGCUGC